Molecule: long non-coding RNA, 279 nt
Filed under: Lathyrus oleraceus (garden pea)
Lineage: Eukaryota; Viridiplantae; Streptophyta; Magnoliopsida; Fabales; Fabaceae
Description: Pisum sativum (pea) long non-coding RNA (PSAT_LNC020734)
Source: RNAcentral
AAUAGUUUUGGACUGGACUUUUCAUUUAUUCAUCCCCCACAUCCUUAUGAAUUUGAUUUUUAUUUAAUUUUAUCUUUAGUAGUUAGUUAAUUAAUUAUUUAAUUGAUUAGUUGAUUAAAUUUUAAUUUUAAUUAUUAUUAUUAUUAAGAUAUUUGUUUUUUUUUUAUUCGAUUUUAAUUUCUUUAGUCGCUUGAUUAGAUAAUCUCUUUAUCACAUAUGUAAAUAAUCGUAUCACUAACAUCAUUAAUCAAUUUCAAUUUUUUAAACCAUUCUCAAUCC